UGGGCCAUCGCCAAGCGGUAAGGCACAGGACUUUGACUCCAGCAUCCGGCAGUUCGAACCUGCCUGGCCCAG
RNAcentral lists this transfer RNA (72 nucleotides) under Ruminococcus sp. Its description in RNAcentral is "tRNA-Gln". It matches the Rfam family "tRNA". Rfam says of the family: Transfer RNA (tRNA) molecules are approximately 80 nucleotides in length. Their secondary structure includes four short double-helical elements and three loops (D, anti-codon, and T loops). Further hydrogen bonds mediate the characteristic L-shaped molecular structure. tRNAs have two regions of fundamental functional importance: the anti-codon, which is responsible for specific mRNA codon recognition, and the 3' end, to which the tRNAs corresponding amino acid is attached (by aminoacyl-tRNA synthetases). tRNAs cope with the degeneracy of the genetic code in two manners: having more than one tRNA (with a specific anti-codon) for a particular amino acid; and 'wobble' base-pairing, i.e. permitting non-standard base-pairing at the 3rd anti-codon position. RNAcentral also lists the same sequence under 1 other name. Lineage: Bacteria; Bacillati; Bacillota; Clostridia; Eubacteriales; Oscillospiraceae. The record is from RNAcentral.